Molecule: non-coding RNA, 73 nt
Organism: Podarcis lilfordi (Lilford's wall lizard)
Lineage: Eukaryota; Metazoa; Chordata; Lepidosauria; Squamata; Lacertidae
Source: the annotation of a GenBank genome assembly
GAUAUAGCUCAGUUGGUAGAGCAUCAGACUUAAUCUCAGGGUUGUGGGUUUGGAUUGAGCCCCACGUUGGACA